AUGAUACGUACUCCCUCCGUUCGGAAUUACUUGUCUCGAAGGUGGAUGUAUCUAUCGAAGGUGGAUGUAUCUAGAACUAAAAUACGUUUAGAUACAUCCAUUUUUGCGACAAGUAAUUUCGAACGGAGGGAGUACGUACUACGUACUGAUCCAGGGUGUGCGGAGGGGGACUUGUUUACCGCUGUAGAAGACAGGCAAGAUCGAAUCGCUUGCGUAAAGCACGGUUAUCUUUUCCGAAAGGCUCACACCCAAGGAUGUUUGCUCCGGAAGAGAAAGGAUCCCACAACGGGCCUGCGGUACAAUGAUUGGGAAAAGCGGGCGAGAGGAGGCCCGGGGGGGUGGGGGGACGCCUUUCGGCGGCCUCGAAAAGCAGAUUCAGUGAACGAAUUGCCGCUGCUGCGAGCGCGCUUGAGUGACACGGCCUUCCAUUUCCUUCUUUCAGUGCCCGAUCGGAAUACUUACCUGUCCUGUUUGAGGCUAAUGGCCAGGUUCCGUUUCGGUGCAGGUUCUCACGUUGGCAUCCAGUUCGUGGCUCGGUGCGAUUCUACUUUUGACUACGUAGUGCUAGUAGUGGAUUGCCUGGUCCGGAGGGCCCGAUGCUGGAUGCUGCUGGGAACCGCAUGA
RNAcentral lists this ribosomal RNA (624 nucleotides) under Triticum aestivum (bread wheat). Its description in RNAcentral is "partial small subunit ribosomal RNA". The stretch from base 5 to 138 matches the Rfam family "MIR1120/MIR1122 microRNA precursor family". The record is from RNAcentral. Lineage: Eukaryota; Viridiplantae; Streptophyta; Magnoliopsida; Poales; Poaceae.